UGAAACCCAGCAGCAUGUCUCUAGGUAACAGGACUUCAAACGGCUGGAAAUGUAGCUGAUCUUAUGCAAUGAUAUCGGCAGAGACGGAGGAACAUGAUAGGUGUUCAGGAGCUGCGUGCUGACGAGGGUCGCUUUCAGCACUAUUCAUGUGUCACCCGAGCCCAGUUUGGCAACCUGCUGACCGGCAUCAGAGCCUGCAUCUCCCACCAGGACAUCAACUACAGGUGCCCCAUUUCAGCUGAAGGAUUGAACUAGGUGAUACACAUCAUGUGCAGCUGAAACAUCUGAAGCAACUACGCAAAGCUAUCAUUGGCGGAAGGUUUCCAACACCUUGUUCAAUCCAUAAAAAAACAGUCCAACCACAU
Long non-coding RNA from Fundulus heteroclitus (mummichog), 365 nucleotides. RefSeq lists it as uncharacterized. The transcript has 3 exons. The record is from RefSeq and is a predicted model, not a curated record. NCBI's taxonomy places the organism in Eukaryota, Metazoa, Chordata, Actinopteri, Cyprinodontiformes, Fundulidae.